UUGAUCUCAGAGUUGGUUCCUCCAACUUUGUAUUCAGCAAAAUGAGUGAUCUGAGGUCUUUGGGACUAAAGGAUUCUGCUCUUUCUGAGACUUUAUAUAUAUGAGAAGCCCAGCCAGUGCCUCAUGGACCACUUUUGGUCAGCAGAACUGGUACUGUGGGAUGUACAGAAUAUCAGUUUUGGUGCUUGGUGAGGAUGUUAUGAGACCUCAGGAAAGAUGUUGGUAAAUGCAGGCAGCAGGACAAUGGUGACCAAGUGUUACAUGCUGGUAAGGAGUGUGUAGCAACUCACUUGCGAUGCACUAACCCUGAACACAGGUGGCACAGAGUGUCAGGCCCAUACCUGGCCUUCUUUGGCAGUGAACACACAAGAGAGU
RNAcentral lists this non-coding RNA (375 nucleotides) under Canis lupus familiaris (dog). RNAcentral's name for it is "Eukaryotic large subunit ribosomal RNA". It matches the Rfam family "Eukaryotic large subunit ribosomal RNA", at positions 967 to 1382 of the family's 3401-position model. Lineage: Eukaryota; Metazoa; Chordata; Mammalia; Carnivora; Canidae. RNAcentral also lists the same sequence under 1 other name. The record is from Rfam by way of RNAcentral.